AGAGUUUGAUCCUGGCUCAGGACGAACGCUGGCGGCAGGCUUAACACAUGCAAGUCGAACGCACCGCAAGGUGAGUGGCAGACGGGUGAGUAACGCGUGGGAACGUGCCCUUUGGUUCGGAAUAGCUCCGGGAAACUGGAAUUAAUGCCGGAUACGCCCUUCGGGGGAAAGAUUUAUCGCCAAAGGAUCGGCCCGCGUCAGAUUAGGUAGUUGGUAGGGUAACGGCCUACCAAGCCGAUGAUCUGUAGGUGGUCUGAGAGGAUGAUCACCCACACUGGGACUGAGACACGGCCCAGACUCCUACGGGAGGCAGCAGUGGGGAAUAUUGGACAAUGGGCGAAAGCCUGAUCCAGCCAUGCCGCGUGGAUGAAGAAGGCCCUAGGGUUGUAAAGUCCUUUCGGCGGGGAAGAUAAUGACGGUACCCGCAGAAGAGCCC
This 436-nucleotide ribosomal RNA is filed under the name uncultured Oceanicaulis sp. RNAcentral's name for it is "bacterial SSU rRNA". It matches the Rfam family "Bacterial small subunit ribosomal RNA", at positions 8 to 492 of the family's 1533-position model. Lineage: Bacteria; Pseudomonadati; Pseudomonadota; Alphaproteobacteria; Maricaulales; Maricaulaceae. The record is from RNAcentral.